RNAcentral lists this ribosomal RNA (1014 nucleotides) under Triticum aestivum (bread wheat). RNAcentral describes it as "partial small subunit ribosomal RNA". The record is from RNAcentral. Lineage: Eukaryota; Viridiplantae; Streptophyta; Magnoliopsida; Poales; Poaceae.
AUGGGGUGGAAGGGCGUCCUGGGGUUCGACUACGGCGUCGUGCAGGCACCGCUCGGCCCCGACAUCUCCGGCCCGGAGCUCGCCGCCGCCGUCGCCAACGCUGGCGCCAUAGGCCUCCUCCGCCUUCCUGACUGGCCGGCGCCGGACCACGUGAGGGGGUUGAUACAGAGGACCAGGAGCCUGACCGAGAAGCCGUUCGGGGCGGCCAUCGUGCUGGCCUUCCCGCACGAGGAGAAUCUGAGGGUCGUGCUGGAGGAGAAGCUCGCCGUGCUGCAGGUGUACUGGGGCGAGUUCCCCAAGGAGCGGGUCGACGAGGCCCAUCGUGCCGGCGUCAAGGUCUUGCAUCAGGUUGGUAACCUUGAGGAGGCAGCAAAAGCUAAGGAAGCUGGUGUAGAUGGAAUUAUCGUUCAAGGCCGCGAAGCAGGGGGGCAUGUGAUUGGUCAAGAGGGUCUGCUACCGUUGCUGCCGAGAGUAGUGGAUCUAGUUUCAGAUAGUACUGUUUCGGUUAUCGCCGCUGGUGGAAUCGUAGAUGGCCGUGGCUAUGCUGCUGCAUUGGCACUUGGUGCUCAUGGUGUUUGCUUAGGAACUAGGUUUGUAGCCACCGAGGAAAGCUUUGCGCAUCCGCUGUAUAAGAAAAAGCUAAUUGAGAUGAAUUGCACGGACUAUACAGCUGUGUUCGGGCGUGCUAGAUGGCCUGGUGCUCCACAACGUGUCCUGAAGACACCUUUCUAUGUUGAGUGGAAGAAUCUUCCAGAUCAUGAAACAGAGGAAAAUCAGCCUAUUAUAGGUCAUUCUAUCAUCCAUGGUGUGCACAAGGAUAUAUGCCGGUUUGCUGGUACUGUUCCUAAUGCGACAACAACAGGCGAUAUCGAUAGCAUGGCCAUGUAUGCUGGCCAGAGUGUUGGGCUAAUCACCGAGAUUGUACCAGCAAGGGAAGUUGUCAAGAGGCUAGUCGCUGAAGCACAGCGUGUCAUUGGAGAAAAGCUUUCUGGUUUCCCCAAAUCAUCAGAGUAG